UAGGGAAUCUUCCGCAAUGGACGAAAGUCUGACGGAGCGACGCCGCGUGAGCGAAGAAGGUCUUCGGAUCGUAAAGCCCUGUUGUUAGGGAAGAAGAAGUGCCGUUCGAACAGGGCGGCACGGUGACGGUACCUAACGAGAAAGCCCCGGCUAACUACGUGCCAGCAGCCGCGGCAAUACGUAGGGGGCGAGCGUUGUCCGGAAUUAUUGGGCGUAAAGCGCGCGCAGGCGGUCCCUUAAGUCUGAUGUGAAAGCCCACGGCUUAACCGAGGAGGGUCAUUGGAAACUGGGGGAGUUGGGGGGAGAAGAGGAGAGCGGAAUUCCACGGGUAGCGGUGAAAUGCGUAGGGAUGUGGAGGAAAACCAGUGGCGAAGGCGGCUCUCUGGCCUGUAACUGACGCUGGGGCGCGAAAGCGUGGGGGGCGAACAGG
This 430-nucleotide ribosomal RNA is filed under the name Bacillota bacterium. RNAcentral's name for it is "Firmicutes bacterium partial 16S ribosomal RNA". It matches the Rfam family "Bacterial small subunit ribosomal RNA", at positions 355 to 776 of the family's 1533-position model. Lineage: Bacteria; Bacillati; Bacillota. The record is from RNAcentral.